This 460-nucleotide ribosomal RNA is filed under the name uncultured bacterium. RNAcentral describes it as "partial 16S ribosomal RNA". It matches the Rfam family "Bacterial small subunit ribosomal RNA", at positions 338 to 795 of the family's 1533-position model. The record is from RNAcentral.
CCUACGGGUGGCAGCAGUGAGGAAUAUUGGUCAAUGGACGGAAGUCUGAACCAGCCAUGCCGCGUGCAGGAUGACGGCUCUAUGAGUUGUAAACUGCUUUUGUACGAGAAUAAUAGUUCUUACGUGUAGGGAUUUGAAUGUAUCGUACGAAUAAGGAUCGGCUAACUCCGUGCCAGCAGCCGCGGUAAUACGGAGGGGGCGAGCGUUAUCCGGAUUCACUGGGGGUAAAGGGUGCGUAGACGGCCAUUCAAGCCAGGGGGGAAAGCCCGGGGCCCAACCCCGGGACUGCCCUUGGAACUGCAUGGCUGGAGUGCGGGAGGGGCAGGCGGAAUGCCUGGUGGAGCGGUGAAAUGCGUAGAUAUCACGCAGAACUCCGAUUGCGAAGGCAGCAUACCGGCGCUCAACUGACGCUCAUGCACGAAAGCGUGGGUAUCGAACAGGAUUAGAUACCCGGGUAGUC